GGCGAACGGGUGAGUAAUACAUCGGAACGUGCCCAGUAGUGGGGGAUAACCAGUCGAAAGACUGGCUAAUACCGCAUACGAUCUACGGAUGAAAGCGGGGGACCGCAAGGCCUCGCGCUAUUGGAGCGGCCGAUGUCGGAUUAGCUAGUUGGCGGGGUAAGAGCCCACCAAGGCGACGAUCCGUAGCUGGUCUGAGAGGAUGACCAGCCACACUGGAACUGAGACACGGUCCAGACUCCUACGGGAGGCAGCAGUGGGGAAUUUUGGACAAUGGGCGCAAGCCUGAUCCAGCCAUGCCGCGUGAGUGAAGAAGGCCUUCGGGUUGUAAAGCUCUUUCGGCGGGGACGAAACGGUCCGGGCUAACACCACGGACUAAUGACGGUACUCGCAGAAGAAGCACCGGCUAACUACGUGCCAGCAGCCGCGGUAAUACGUAGGGUGCGGGCGUUAAUCGGAAUUACUGGGCGUAAAGCGUGCGUAGGCGGCUCCUUAAGUCAGAUGUGAAAGCCCCGGGCUUAACCUGGGAACUGCG
This 532-nucleotide ribosomal RNA is filed under the name uncultured Rhodocyclales bacterium. Its description in RNAcentral is "bacterial SSU rRNA". It matches the Rfam family "Bacterial small subunit ribosomal RNA", at positions 97 to 625 of the family's 1533-position model. The record is from RNAcentral. Lineage: Bacteria; Pseudomonadati; Pseudomonadota; Betaproteobacteria; Rhodocyclales.